Molecule: small nucleolar RNA, 221 nt
Organism: Pseudophryne corroboree (corroboree frog)
Lineage: Eukaryota; Metazoa; Chordata; Amphibia; Anura; Myobatrachidae
Product: small nucleolar RNA U3
Exons: 1
Source: RefSeq, a predicted model, not a curated record
AAGAUUAUACUUUCAGGGAUCUUUUUUUUUUUUUUAUAGGUAAUGAUUGGAGAAAUGUGCUUGAAAGUAUUCAAACUCACCAACCACCAUGAUGAGUUUAAGAGCUCUCUUCUCAGUCUGAAGGCAGUUAACAACUCUGUUUCAUGCAGAUGUUGUUAGCUUUUGAUGACUGUCCUACUUCUUAAUAAAGAAGAGGUAGAAUAGGUCUCAUUCAGAGUGAC